AGCGGGUGUAGUUUAGUGGUAAAACUACAGCCUUCCAAGCUGUUGUCGCGAGUUCGAUUCUCGUCACCCGCUUUGA
RNAcentral lists this transfer RNA (76 nucleotides) under Streptococcus pneumoniae CDC1087-00. Its description in RNAcentral is "tRNA-Gly". It matches the Rfam family "tRNA". Rfam says of the family: Transfer RNA (tRNA) molecules are approximately 80 nucleotides in length. Their secondary structure includes four short double-helical elements and three loops (D, anti-codon, and T loops). Lineage: Bacteria; Bacillati; Bacillota; Bacilli; Lactobacillales; Streptococcaceae. The record is from RNAcentral. RNAcentral also lists the same sequence under 10 other names.